CCUACGGGUGGCUGCAGUGAGGAAUAUUGGUCAAUGGACGAGAGUCUGAACCAGCCAAGUAGCGUGAAGGAUGACUGCCCUAUGGGUUGUAAACUUCUUUUAUAUGGGAAUAAAAUGUUCCACGUGUGGGAUUUUGUAUGUACCAUAUGAAUAAGGAUCGGCUAACUCCGUGCCAGCAGCCGCGGUAAUACGGAGGAUCCGAGCGUUAUCCGGAUUUAUUGGGUUUAAAGGGAGCGUAGGUGGAUUGUUAAGUCAGUUGUGAAAGUUUGCGGCUCAACCCCGCCGAGCCGUCGGAACCGGGGGCCUUGAGUACCGGAGAAGUACGCGGAAUGCGUGGUGUAGCGGUGAAAUGCAUAGAUAUCACGCAGAACCCCGAUUGCGAAGGCAGCGUACCGGCCGGUCACUGACGCUGAGGCACGAAAGCGCGGGUAUCGAACAGGAUUAGAUACCCCAGUAGUC
RNAcentral lists this ribosomal RNA (459 nucleotides) under uncultured bacterium. RNAcentral's name for it is "partial 16S ribosomal RNA". It matches the Rfam family "Bacterial small subunit ribosomal RNA", at positions 338 to 795 of the family's 1533-position model. The record is from RNAcentral.